Molecule: ribosomal RNA, 255 nt
Filed under: uncultured bacterium
Lineage: Bacteria
Description: partial 16S ribosomal RNA
Rfam family: Bacterial small subunit ribosomal RNA
Source: RNAcentral
UACGAAGGGGGCUAGCGUUGCUCGGAAUGACUGGGCGUAAAGGGCGCGCAGGCGGCUGCUCAAGUCAGGCGUGAAAGGCCUGGGCUCAACCCGGGAAUUGCGCUUGAGACUGGGCUGGCUUGAGUGCGGGAGAGGAUGGUGGAAUUCCCAGUGUAGAGGUGAAAGUUCGUAGAUAUUGGGAAGAACACCGGUGGCGAAGGCGGCCAUCUGGACCGCAACUGACGCUGAGGCGCGAAAGCGUGGGGAGCGAACAGG